GACGAACGCUGGCGGCGUGCCUAAUACAUGCAAGUCGAGCGCAGGAAGCUGACGGAACUCUUCGGAGAGAAGGCAGUGGAAUGAGCGGCGGACGGGUGAGUAACACGUAAGGAACCUGCCUCAAGGAUUGGGAUAACUCCGAGAAAUCGGAGCUAAUACCGGAUAGUUCAACGGACCGCAUGGUCCGCUGAUGAAAGGCGCUUCGGCGUCACCUUGAGAUGGCCUUGCGGUGCAUUAGCUAGUUGGUGGGGUAACGGCCCACCAAGGCGACGAUGCAUAGCCGACCGGAGAGGGUGAUCGGCAACACUGGGACUGAGACACGGCCCAGACUCCUACGGGAGGCAGCAGUAGGGAAUCUUCCACAAUGGACGAAAGUCUGAUGGAGCAACGCCGCGUGAGUGAUGAAGGUUUUCGGAUCGUAAAACUCUGUUGUAAGGGAAGAACACGUACGAGAGGGAAUGCUCGUACCUUGACGGUACCUUACGAGAAAGCCACGGCUAACUACGUGCCAGCCGCCGCCGUAA
RNAcentral lists this ribosomal RNA (524 nucleotides) under uncultured bacterium. RNAcentral's name for it is "partial 16S ribosomal RNA". It matches the Rfam family "Bacterial small subunit ribosomal RNA", at positions 28 to 523 of the family's 1533-position model. The record is from RNAcentral.